GAUUAUUUACAAAUUUGUUAAUCAAGACCAACGGAAUUUCCGACAAAUUGCCGUUGGAAAUAUUAAGCUACAAAAUAAGAAUCAUUUAUGCAAAAGUAUGUGUGUGGUGACACUAUAUUUCCAACGGAUAGGCCGUGGGAACUCAUGUCCGGAAAUCAAAUUAUAUAUAUAUAUUAAACCCAUUAAGUCUAACCACUUUUUGAAUCAAUCUCUACCGUCGGAUCAUGCGGAGAUGAAAUCUCAGCCGUUUAAACUCACAAAAAUAACCGCUCUAAUGGCGGUUCAGGGUGGUUAUUGGUUGUUCCACCUUUUUCUACACAUGAUCUCCACAACUUUGGUGGUUGCAUCUUAAUUUUUCCCCAAAACCAUUUUUUAUGCAGUUCACAGAAGUUUUUAGCAGUUUAGCUAGACAUCCCAUCUUUGUAGGUUCACGUUUCCAUCCACGUUCGACGAUUUCUCCUCCCCAACCACCCUAGGCCACCCAUUAUAAAUCCUCCACCACCCACCAUCGGCCAAAGACUGCUCUCUCUCAUAUUUUGCAUUUGUUAUUGAGGUUUUCUGAUUUCUCUGAUCUCUUGAAGGCUUGAAGCUACUUAUGGUUUUCCCCACUGUAAUCGAUAAAGAAUUAGUGAACCACACCAUCACAUAGCAUAUAUCAGAUCGGGAGGUACUAAAUUUUGCAUAUAUGAAGGAAAUACAUGUAUGCUAGAGCGUCGUUUUUUCGCCUACCAGAGUUUGAAAGUGAACUAAUCGAAUGUUGGUGGUACAAGAAAUUUAGGAAGCACCUGAGUUGCUGGAGGAACGGGAAGAAGCAUUGGGGCUGCAAGUAAGUAGAAGUUUAACCGCUGUGUUGGCAGUUCUCAGCAGUUUCAUAGCUUGGGAGUUAGCCCAACCUUUUCAUGCCCACGUGUGAUGAUUGUUCAACUCCCAUGUUUGCUUUAUACCAUGAAGACGAAUUUGUGUGGUGCUUUACGGCGAUCUGCAACAUUCACCUCUGCCUAAAUUGAUUCCUAUGGUCUUCAUAUGGUGCUCUCAAAGAUCAAACCGAAGUCGUCUUCCUCUCUGAUGGCUAGGAUCUCAUGAAUUGCACUCAUUUGAUCGGUUGUCGUAAACUCAAUUGCAUCCCUUGUAUCCUCACAUUUCACAUGGAGGACACAUUGAAAGAUCAAUCGUCUGUUUCUCGUGAUUAGUUUUGCACUCUUUGUCAUAAGUGUGCAGAUUGAGAUUGUUGUUUGUCUACUAAAAUUACAAAUUGUUUUUACAGGAAUCAAGGGAGGAGAAUCGGCUUCGGUAUCCUAUGCGAUCAGCCACCAAAUCUGACGAUGAGAAGCUUCCUGUAUCCGUUCCGUCAAUUGCUUAGACGUCUAGAAGGUUGUCAUUGGAAUGAAUGUUGCUGCAUCUGAAUUCUAUGGAAAAGACAAGACGUGAUUUGGACUUCAAGGAAGAGAACAACAACGGGUCUCAAAAAAUAUCCGAAGUGCAGCUCAAAGAUCUCUAUAAAUCGUUUGUGAGCGAGUACCCUAUUACUCAAAGGUUAACCAAAUUGGAUCUGUUACUGGGAGCAAUGAAGCUGUGAAAAUGCCAAAGCAUGCUGGUUGGGGUGUUAGACUAUGGGGGGUAGAGGAGGGUAGUCCUUAAAGGAUGGUUCGCCAUGUAGACGGCCACGUAAGCGGGUGUGAGUAUGAGCCUAAAGGGAUGGGCUAGGGGUGUGGAGGAUGAGCCCCUUUUUAUAUACAUACGUAUGUAUGUAUAGUUGUGUGUGUGUGUGUUGGAUAAAGAAGUGAGGGCCAGCUUCAAUGUCUAGGGGAGAACGGGGACGACCCGGUGGGCGGUGCGCAGGCCGUCGCCGCUCCUCGACGCACCGGGACAAGCCCCAUGGGGAAAUAUAUAUUAUAUAAUAUGCGUUUUCAGUUGUUUUUGCAACUUCAUUUUUUUAUUAAUAAUAUUAUAGUGGUGUCACAAUGGGGAAACAAAGGAUACCUUCAUUGCUGAUCUCUCUGUUGGUUUAGUGACGGGCCAAAUCAAGAUUGGAGCCCCAUGCAGGUCUGAACGUCAAGCCAAGUACAAUCAGCUCUUGCGAAUUGAAGAAGAACUCGGGUCAGAAGCAGUUUAUGCUUGAAGAAGAACUCGGGUCAGAAGCAGUUUAUGCUGGAGCCAACUUCAGGAAGUUCGUAGAGCCCUACUAGAUUUGCGUUUAGUACGGUUGAAAUAAAAACUCAAGGGAAGGGGCAAAAUAGACCUUUUCCUCAUAAUAAUUGUAUCUUUAAAGUUUUAUGUGGAUUUUGUUUUGUGGUAAUCAAUCAUUUUGGCCUAUGGUAUUUGUUGUC
Long non-coding RNA from Helianthus annuus (common sunflower), 2327 nucleotides. RefSeq lists it as uncharacterized. The record is from RefSeq and is a predicted model, not a curated record. The transcript is spliced from 9 exons. NCBI's taxonomy places the organism in Eukaryota, Viridiplantae, Streptophyta, Magnoliopsida, Asterales, Asteraceae.